GAGGUUGUGGCUCAGUGGUAAAGCGCUUGCCUAGCAUGUGUGAGGCACUGGAUUCAAUCCCCAGCACCUCA
This 71-nucleotide transfer RNA is filed under the name Marmota marmota marmota (Alpine marmot). It matches the Rfam family "tRNA". Rfam says of the family: Transfer RNA (tRNA) molecules are approximately 80 nucleotides in length. Their secondary structure includes four short double-helical elements and three loops (D, anti-codon, and T loops). Lineage: Eukaryota; Metazoa; Chordata; Mammalia; Rodentia; Sciuridae. The record is from Rfam by way of RNAcentral. RNAcentral also lists the same sequence under 1 other name.